UUCACUGGAUUAUUUGUUUUUUGGGUGUUGAGUUUGAUAAGUUGUUUAUAGAUUUUGGAUACUAACCCUUUAUGUGAUAUGAGAACAACGACAAUUUCAAACGCUAUCAUUCUUGUAAGUAAAUCACAACAUCAUAAAGCCAGGCUCUGGCAUUUUUUUUCCCUUUGGCACACAAGCAGAAUAGUCCCCAGCAACAUUUUUCAUACUGCAGAUUGGGAACCACCAGUGUGUUGUAAAGUAAGAAAAAAUUUUUGUGAGGAAAUAGAACAUAAGAGGAACACUCACAUUUUUUCAGCUCGGUAAGGGCAAGAAUUGUUAUCUGCAGACUUCUGUUCCAAUGAUACAUGCCAAGUGUUUUCUGGGUUAUAACUGUAAAGAGAAAUUGUCCCGAGCCCUGAGUGAUGGAAUCUUCUUUCUGGGAAGAAACUAACAUUCCUGCUAAAGCAUUGAAGAUUUUCUCAAGUUAAUGGGAUUAAGUCUUGCUCAAGGAAAUGGGUUACCUACUCACCCAACUGACUGUCAGUAUCAGUUAAGAAUCUAGUGACCUUUAUCCAAAUAUAGUAAAACCCUGGACUGUGAGUAACUUGUUUUGCAAGUGUUCUGCUAGAUUAACAAACAUUUCUAAUAAAUUUUAACUUGAUAAACGAGCCACGUCUUGCAAUACAAGGAGUACAUGAUGUCAAAUGUCACAUGACAACAACUGAGCCAAUGGUUCUUGAAACUCACUUUGAUAUACAAGUGCUUUGGAUUACAAGCAUGUUUCUGGAACAAAUUAUGCUUGCAAAUCAAGGUUUUCCUGUAUUUCUUUUUUCCUUUCUUUUUUUUUUUUUACUUGUUAGUGCAACAAUAGCUACUUUGUUUUUCCAUAAAACGGCUCCACCACAAAUAAAUCUUUGAAUGGUUUACUACAGACCUUUUGUUUUUUGAACAGCAAGAUUGUAAACAUAACUCUGAAAUGUGUUCGUAAUUAGAUCGAUAAAAAGUUUCCUUAACACUAUGUAAAAUAUUUUUCUUUCUGUGGGUCAAGAUAAGAAAAGUCUGAAAGUCACCGAUUCCAGGGGACAGGACAGUGGCAGGCUGGUGGAAAAGAACACAUGGAAAUUGGUAGUUUCCCAGGGUGGGACCCUAGAUCUCCGCAGUGGAUUACAGAGGCUCUCAUCCCCAGACAAUACCUUCGAGACCAGGUCCGGGCUCACCAAGGGAUCCCGGCAAACAGGGUCUGCAUCAGGACAUCACUCUGGGCUGACUCCCGCCUCUGUGUGAGUGAGCUGAGUAGCCUCAGGCCAGGUUGACUGAUGUGGCCAACAGGUGGAGGGCGAGUCUGAAGGGCAGAGUGCAAGAAGCUGGAGUCUACAAUAACCCUGGGAAUAAUCAUCUUAUGGGUCUUAGAUCUUCUUGGAAUUCCUGGCCAUGGAAAGCAACAUCUUGUGGCCUCACUAGAUGAUAAAACCCACAAACACAUGAGGUUGCCCGUCAACGAUUGUUGCCCUUACCAAGCUGAAAGGACAUAUCCUAGGACAUAGUGAGUGUGCGAUAACAUCUGUAGAAUGAAUGAAUGUGAACUUUCUGUCACCAAGGGGUCCUGGUGUGCCUCCCUCUGCUCAGAAGUCCUUUUUCUACUUUCUUGGACAGGUCAGGGCCUAGCCCAGGGCUGGUUGAUGAUUGCUCCUCCUGGUUCCUGGGUUUCUAACUCAUGUGUUUCUUUCCCAAAGGGCCAGGGGCUGGAGCUUGACUGGUGGGCUUUUGGCCAGGGCCCUCAAAGUAAACGAUUACCUGGAUCCUAUUUCCAGGGACUUGGCGCAAGCUGUUGGCUCUCAGUAUGACCAGUCAGAGGAAAGAGGAAAUUAACAGAGAAAGAAAAAUAGAGCAUAGAUAAUUAUUGUAAACAUGACAGCAAGGGAAGGAAAAGGAGGGUAUAUUUACUGUAUCAUUGAACAGUGAAUGGAAUAUUAGAUGAGCAAAUCCCUGAAAACGAUUAAAGAUAUCUUAAUAUUUUAUAAAGGGGGUCAUUGGGCAAUAUGUACAUUCUGAAAUCACGAACUUUAGAACAUGAAAUAAAUCAUGUUUGCGUAUCUCUGUUUGUUACUCUGCUGGAAAUGAUUUGAUCUGCUUAGUAUGAGUUAGUACUAUGGAUUCCCAAAAGUAUGUUUUCUUCUUUCUUUUCCUCACAUAGUUGAAUAUUUAAAAGCAGGUUGACGGUUUUAUGUCUUUACUUGUUUGUUUCCAUUGUGUCUUAGCCUGGGUUCUGCAGAAGACAGGCUUCUUGAAGAUUUUGCUGGGGAGUGUGAGCUCUGGGAAAGCAGGAAUGUUGUGUAACUGAGUUGCCUGCAGCAAUUAUCUGCAAUCACUGAUUCCUGGUGGCAGGAUCAUGCCGGACCCCCUGAGGAGCCAUAUGCAAUGAAUCUGAAGACUGGUCAUCAGGGGAAGAAAGUGGAAGGAUUGCCUGCCAAGUUCUGUUCCCUGUAGGCCAUAGGUUUGCCUGUCAGAUGUCAACUCUCACAUCUUCCAGGAUGGAGAUUUUUGGGUACCAAAUGGGUUCCCGAGGCAUCCCACUCUGUGUCCACAGAGAGGCGCUGGUGCGGGCAGUGAAGAGCCUUGAGGUGUAAGUGGGGAUGACAGGAGCUGUUGUCUACCAACAGUUGUGAUGUGAUUCCCUCUGCUUUCUGCCAUGACUUCUUCACCUGUAACCUUCUGGGAGGAGGAGAAAACUUGGACACACAAAGAGACACCAGGGAUGGGCACGGAGGAAAGACCAAGCGAGGACACGGAAAGAAGGAGGCCACUUGUAAGCUGAGGAGAGAGGUCUCAGGGGAAAACAGAGCUACCAGCACCUUGACCUUUGGCUUCGAGCCUCUACAGCAGUGAGAAAAUAAAUUUCCAUUGCUUAAACCA
Molecule: long non-coding RNA, 2892 nt
Organism: Leopardus geoffroyi (Geoffroy's cat)
Lineage: Eukaryota; Metazoa; Chordata; Mammalia; Carnivora; Felidae
Exons: 3
Source: RefSeq, a predicted model, not a curated record